GAGAACAUCUCCCAUUACAUAUUUGUAAAAUAAUAUUUUUUUUAAUUUAUAAAUAUUGAAUUAGAUACUAAAGAAAACCCAAGAAGCAAGCUAGAGAGCUUCACCCUUUAUUCAAUAUUUAUAAUAUAAAAACACCUCACAAUUAUAUAACAAUAUUUCAAACACUGACAACUCUCACACAAUCUAAUGUUUGAUAGCUCAUGCAUAUGUAAUACAUAAAUAUACAAGCUUAUUUAAUUUCAAAGGAUUAAACUGUUCCUGCAUAUAUCCUCUCAUUUGGAGAUUCCUUCAUCAAUAUCCUUAGUCAUGCUAAUCACAAAAUCCAUGUAAUUAUGAGGAACAGGAACAUUCUCAUUCAGCUUCUCAAAUUCAAGAGUCAAUUUUGCCAAGCUCCCCUGGUCCUUGGGUGUGAGUUCCCAUGUGCCAGUGCAAACCCUGUAAAUCUUGAGCACAUCACCUUCCAGACCAAUAAUACGUACUAUUUUCUUUUCCUCGUCCAAUUCAAUCUUCUCCUGAAAGACCUCAGCUUUUCCAUCUAUAGUGUAGUUCCAGACCUUGAUGGUGCCAGGAGUGACCCAAUCACCUUCAAGGACAUGAACUCCUUGAAUAUUGGUAGAAGUAAGGUUAGGAACCUGGUAGGCUUGCUCCUUCCAGAGACUCAAGAACUUUUCAGGACUUGACUUGAGAUCUAACACAGUCUCCAACUUCCCCUUGAGAGCCAUGGCUUCUAUGUCACAAUAAAG
This 743-nucleotide unclassified non-coding RNA is filed under the name Hevea brasiliensis (rubber tree). The record is from RNAcentral. Lineage: Eukaryota; Viridiplantae; Streptophyta; Magnoliopsida; Malpighiales; Euphorbiaceae.